Molecule: ribosomal RNA, 354 nt
Filed under: uncultured bacterium
Lineage: Bacteria
Description: bacterial SSU rRNA
Rfam family: Bacterial small subunit ribosomal RNA
Source: RNAcentral
AUUUAAUACCGCAUAAUAUGCCGAAGUCGCAUGACUUUGGUAUUAAAGCAGCAAUGCACUUAGAGAUGAGUGUGCGUCCCAUUAGGUAGUUGGUGAGGUAAACGGGCUCACCAAGCCUAUGAUGGGUAGCCGGUCUGAGAGGAUGGUUCGGCCACACGGGCACUGAGACACGGGCCCGACUCCUACGGGAGGCAGCAGUAAGGAAUAUUGGUCAAUGGUGGAAACACUGAACCAGCCAUGCCGCGUUGGAGGAAUAAGGUCCUACGGAUUGUAAACUCCUUUUGACGAGGAAGAAAAUGUUAGAUUUAUCUAAUUUUGACGGUACUCGUAGAAUAAGCACCGGCUAACUCCGUG